GGUGAACGCUGGCGGCAGGCCUAACACAUGCAAGUCGAACGGCAGCACAGUAAGAGCCUGCUCUUACGGGUGGCGAGUGGCGGACGGGUGAGGAGUACAUCGGAAUCUACUUUUUCGUGGGGGAGAACGUAGGGAGACUUACGCUAACACCUCACACGUCCUACUGGUGAAAGCAGGGGGUCUUCGGACAUUGCUCGCUUGAGCUAGCCGAUGUCGGAUUAGCUAGUUGGCGGGGUAAAGGCCCACCAAGGCGACGAUCCGUAGCUGGUCUGAGAGGAUGAUCAGCCACACUGGAACUGAGACACGGUCCAGACUCCUACGGGAGGCAGCAGUGGGGAAUAUUGGACAAUGGGCGCAAGCCUGAUCCAGCCAUACCGCGUGGGUGAAGAAGGCCUUCGGGUUGUAAAGCCCUUUUGUUGGGAAAGAAAAGCAGCAGGUUAAUACCCCGCUGUUCUGACGGUACCCAAAGAAUAAGCACCGGCUAACUUCGUG
RNAcentral lists this ribosomal RNA (492 nucleotides) under uncultured bacterium. Its description in RNAcentral is "partial 16S ribosomal RNA". It matches the Rfam family "Bacterial small subunit ribosomal RNA", at positions 28 to 507 of the family's 1533-position model. The record is from RNAcentral.